GAGACUGCUCUUCUGUGGAGUUUUAAUGUGAGCCUGGAUCUUCAGAGAGAGGAGCCUGAAUGCAGGAGUGGCAGUGGGCAGCAGAUGAUGCUCUCUACCUCCAUUUUGUAGAGGAAGCCUGAGAGGAGCAGGCGCUGGCACCAGCAGCAGGAGGAGCAGCCCUGUGUUUCUCUGAUUUUACAGAUGACUGUUAUGUUGCUCGUAUGCUGAAACUGUGUGCCCUCUAUGGAGAUGUCGAACUCAGCUUUAAGAGCUGGAAACCUGAUAGCAGCUUGGAGUUCCCUUGGAAAUCACCAGAGAUGGCCCAAGAGCACCUAAAAGGAAUAGAGUAGCUGAAUGUGGAUCUGUUUUGAGACUGGG
Lagopus leucura (white-tailed ptarmigan) is the source of this 360-nucleotide long non-coding RNA. RefSeq lists it as uncharacterized. The record is from RefSeq and is a predicted model, not a curated record. NCBI's taxonomy places the organism in Eukaryota, Metazoa, Chordata, Aves, Galliformes, Phasianidae. The transcript is spliced from 6 exons.